RNAcentral lists this ribosomal RNA (568 nucleotides) under uncultured bacterium. RNAcentral describes it as "partial 16S ribosomal RNA". It matches the Rfam family "Bacterial small subunit ribosomal RNA", at positions 355 to 914 of the family's 1533-position model. The record is from RNAcentral.
UGGGGAAUUUUGGACAAUGGGCGAAAGCCUGAUCCAGCAAUGCCGCGUGUGUGAAGAAGGCCUUCGGGUUGUAAAGCACUUUUGUCCGGAAAGAAAUCCUUGGCUCUAAUACAGUCGGGGGAUGACGGUACCGGAAGAAUAAGCACCGGCUAACUACGUGCCAGCAGCCGCGGUAAUACGUAGGGUGCAAGCGUUAAUCGGAAUUACUGGGCGUAAAGCGUGCGCAGGCGGUUUGCUAAGACCGAUGUGAAAUCCCCGGGCUCAACCUGGGAACUGCAUUGGUGACUGGCAGGCUAGAGUAUGGCAGAGGGGGGUAGAAUUCCACGUGUAGCAGUGAAAUGCGUAGAGAUGUGGAGGAAUACCGAUGGCGAAGGCAGCCCCCUGGGCCAAUACUGACGCUCAUGCACGAAAGCGUGGGGAGCAAAACAGGAUUAGAUACCCUGGUAGUCCACGCCCUAAACGAUGUCAACUAGUUGUUGGGGAUUCAUUUCCUUAGUAACGUAGCUAACGCGUGAAGUUGACCGCCUGGGGAGUACGGUCGCAAGAUUAAAAACUCAAAGGAAUUGAC